RNAcentral lists this ribosomal RNA (983 nucleotides) under uncultured bacterium. Its description in RNAcentral is "bacterial SSU rRNA". It matches the Rfam family "Bacterial small subunit ribosomal RNA", at positions 338 to 1315 of the family's 1533-position model. The record is from RNAcentral.
CCUACGGGAGGCAGCAGUCGGGAAUUUUGGGCAAUGGGCGAAAGCCUGACCCAGCAACGCCGCGUGAAGGAUGAAGCUUUUCGGAGUGUAAACUUCAUAAGAAUGGGACGAAUAAGUGGGGGAUAAUACCCCCCAUGAUGACGGUACCAUUUGUAAGCUCCGGCUAACUCCGUGCCAGCAGCCGCGGUAAUACGGGGGGAGCAAGCGUUGUUCGGAUUUACUGGGCGUAAAGGGCGCGUAGGCGGCGCAACAAGUCACUUGUGAAAUCUCCGGGCUUAACCCGGAGCGGCCAAGUGAUACUGUCGUGCUAGAGUGCGGAAGGGGCUACUGGAAUUCUCGGUGUAGCGGUGAAAUGCGUAGAUAUCGAGAGGAACACCUGCGGCGAAGGCGGGUAGCUGGGCCGACACUGACGCUGAGGCGCGAAAGCCAGGGGAGCGAACGGGAUUAGAUACCCCGGUAGUCCUGGCCUUAAACGAUGGAUACUUGGUGUCCGGGGUUACAUAGUCCCCGGGUGCCGGCGCUAACGCAUUAAGUAUCCCGCCUGGGGAGUACGGUCGCAAGACCGAAACUCAAAGGAAUUGACGGGGACCCGCACAAGCGGUGGAGCAUGUGGUUUAAUUCGACGCAACGCGAAGAACCUUACCUGGGCUAGAAUGCCUCUGACAACCCUGGAGACAGGGCCUUCUGGGUAAAACCAGACAGAGUGCAAGGUGCUGCAUGGCUGUCGUCAGCUCGUGUCGUGAGAUGUUGGGUUAAGUCCCGCAACGAGCGCAACCCUUGUCAGUAGUUGCCAGCGGUUAGGCCGGGCACUCUACUGAGACUGCCGUUGAUAAAACGGAGGAGGUGGGGAUGACGUCAGUCCUCAUGGCCUUUAUGUCCAGGCUACACACGUGCUACAUGGCAAGUACAAACCGUCGCAAACUCGCAAGAGGGAGCCAAUCGGAAAAAAGCCUGUCUCAGUUCGGAUGGAGUCUGCAACUCGA